CGCCGGACGGUCGCGCGGUAUGUUGCCGAAAGGUAUUACCGUGAGGAAAGUCCGGGCUUCACAGGACAGGAUAGCCGAUAACGUCGGCCGCGGGUAACCGCCGGGAAAGUGCAACAGAAAGAAACCGCCGCUUUGCGGUAAGGAUGGAAAGGCGAGGUAAGAGCUCACCCGUUCCCAUGGUGACAUGGGUCCGCUGUAAACCCUAUCCGAAGCAACACCCCAUCGGGCGCCGGUCCGGCAUAUGCCCAGAGGUGGCACGGGAAAUUCCUUCCCGAAGCAUUCCGGCAACGGGAUGCGCAGAUUGAUGACCGUUCAAGACAGAACCCGGCUUACAGACGGAG
This 341-nucleotide RNase P RNA is filed under the name chicken gut metagenome. Its description in RNAcentral is "Bacterial RNase P class A". It matches the Rfam family "Bacterial RNase P class A". Rfam says of the family: Ribonuclease P (RNase P) is a ubiquitous endoribonuclease, found in archaea, bacteria and eukarya as well as chloroplasts and mitochondria. Its best characterised activity is the generation of mature 5'-ends of tRNAs by cleaving the 5'-leader elements of precursor-tRNAs. Cellular RNase Ps are ribonucleoproteins. The record is from RNAcentral.